AAUUUUUGACAAUGGGGGAAACCCUGAUCCAGCCAUCCCGCGCGUAUGAUGAAGGCCUUCGGGUUGUAAAGUACUUUUGGCAGAGAAGAAAAGGUACCUCCUAAUACGAGGUACUGCUGACGGUAUCUGCAGAAUAAGCACCGGCUUACUACGUGCCAGCAGCCGCCGUAAGACGUAGGGUGCAAGCUGUAAUCGGAAGUACUGGGCGUAAAGCGUGUGUAGGCGGUUCGGAAAGAAAGAUGUGGAAUCCCAGGGCUCAACCUUGGAACUGCAUUUUUAACUGCCGAGCUAGAGUAUGUCAGGGGGGGGUAGAAUUCCACGUGUAGUAGUGAAAAGCGUAGAUAUGCGGAGGAAUACCGAUGGCGAAGGCAGCCCCCUGGGAUAAUACUGACGCUCAGACACGAAAGCGUGGGGAGCAAACAG
RNAcentral lists this ribosomal RNA (423 nucleotides) under uncultured bacterium. RNAcentral's name for it is "partial 16S ribosomal RNA". It matches the Rfam family "Bacterial small subunit ribosomal RNA", at positions 360 to 775 of the family's 1533-position model. The record is from RNAcentral.